UAAAAAAAAAACGACGUCAAACGUGGAGAGAUACGUCUCCCUUAUCUCCUCCUACCCUCAUAAAUGUGCCACUCCGUGCGGUUGAAACUAAAGUAUGACGCGCAGUACGUCCUACCUUCCCGACCGCCCGCAUCCCUAAAAUAACGGCCUACCCGCUAGCAUUGUUAUCCGGUUGUUUUUUUCGCCUUUACAUAAUAUAACGCCGGACCUUUAUCAAAAUUAUGACAAGUUGACAGUGCGUAUUACAAGCGUCACGCGUAGGGUCAGGGUUCCGAGUGCGCCCCUUUCGGUGCGCCGCUAUCGUGUA
Cinara cedri is the source of this 307-nucleotide non-coding RNA. Lineage: Eukaryota; Metazoa; Arthropoda; Insecta; Hemiptera; Aphididae. The record is from the annotation of a GenBank genome assembly.